CCUACGGGUGGCAGCAGUAGGGAAUAUUGCUCAAUGGGGGAAACCCUGAUGCAGCAACGCCGCGUGGAGGAUGAAGGUUUUCGGAUUGUAAACUCCUUUUGUUAGAGAAGAUAAUGACGGUAUCUAACGAAUAAGCACCGGCUAACUCCGUUCCAGCAGCCGCGGUAAUACGGAGGGUGCAAGCGUUACUCGGAAUCACUGGGCGUAAAGAGCGCGUAGGCGGGAUAGCAAGUCAGAUGUGAAAGCCUAGGGCUUAACCAUAGAACUGCAUUUGAAACUUUUAUUCUAGAGUAUGGGAGAGGUAGGGGGAAUUCUUGGUGUAGGGGUAAAAUACGUAGAGAUCAAGAGGAAUACGCACUGCGAAGGCGACCUGCUAGAACAUAACUGACGUUGAUGCGCGAAAGCGUGGGGAGCAAACAGGAUUAGAUACCCGGGUAGUC
RNAcentral lists this ribosomal RNA (440 nucleotides) under uncultured bacterium. Its description in RNAcentral is "partial 16S ribosomal RNA". It matches the Rfam family "Bacterial small subunit ribosomal RNA", at positions 338 to 795 of the family's 1533-position model. The record is from RNAcentral.